Molecule: long non-coding RNA, 2337 nt
Filed under: Salvia miltiorrhiza (redroot sage)
Lineage: Eukaryota; Viridiplantae; Streptophyta; Magnoliopsida; Lamiales; Lamiaceae
Description: long non-coding RNA (SMIL_LNC005042)
Source: RNAcentral
AGCUCUAUCGUCCUGACCAAGCGCCUGAUGAAGAUACCGGGGCAGCGCAGCUAUCCAAUCAGCACUGAAGUAUCGCUCAAGGAUUGAGAAUGACACUUUGCUUCCAGAGAGGCUUGCUCGAAAAGUCCAUACUAAUCACUACUUGCUAUCAAUGCCGAAUUGCGGGAAAAACAAUGAAGGCUAAGUCUUUGAUUCCUUUGCAAUAACUCGAAUAUUACAAAAUUGGAUUGACUUUGAUUGAGAGUCUUCCGGCAUUAUCUUUAAUGUUGGGGCUGACGACAUUAUGGUUUUUGCUCUAAUUUCAGGAUUGAUCUCUUUAUGUUUCCGCUCUGAUUUUGGGAUUGCUAAUGGGAAUAAUUUCAUUAUUUUGGCUCCGUUUUUAUUAUGUUUAUUGUAUGUGAGCUCGUUUGAUGGAGGAAUGGGCUUUUAAUCCAAGUAUCGUUGCAUUGUUUCAGUGUUUAGGGGACUCCAGCGCUGAUACAACUCUUAAUAUAAGGCAUUGCUGCAUUAAUUCAAUUUCGCGAGGUUCAUUGUUAUCGGAGCAGUAGGGCAUCUGAAUCUGUACAGGUGGGACGGAGAUCAUCGUUACUCAGUCCACAGCUCAGCGCACGAGCGACAAACGGAUGGCUUAUCGACACACAAAAGGGCAGCGCAGGUAUGGCGGUAAUCUUCGAGGGCAGCGCAGUACGGUAACCUUAGAGGGCAGCACAGGUUCACGCAAUAGACUAAAUGGGCAGCGCAGGUUCACAAGGAAGAUUCAGUGCUGCUGCUCAGCCCGGGAAGAGGCUCUCAAUUUUCAGCGCAGCUACUCAGCUCGGGAAGAAAUUUGCAAUCUUCAGCGCUGUCGGCAAGGAUUAUCAGUGAACUCUCCAUCUGUGAACAUCAAGACACCCGGUCAUAAAGCCUUCCUUGGUCUUUAUGCCUGUCCUGCCAGGGAACCACAGAUUGAGAAGUGGGGAAGGUCCUCCGUUCGCUGCAGUUCUCCGAAUCCAGAGGAACCAAAAAUAUGGCGCUGCCUCAUUUGACAGGGAAGAUUUAAAUUUCGUCUGCUUAUUUUACUGGCAAUCCAGAAAAUUGAGCUCAGUUUAUCUGUUCUUUUAGUCAUUGAUAUAUAUGUAUAGGGGGAAUGUCUAGGAUUUUUGGAGAAUUUUGUGGGUUGCUAAAAUGCCUAAUCAAACUCAAGGGAUUUUAUGUGUUUAAUUGUGGGAUGGAUUUUCGGGAAUAUUGUUUGGUUAUCUAUGGUUAUAUGCACAUUUUUCUGUGAGAUUGUGUUGCUUUGGGGUUAUAUUUGUACAUGAUGGGGUGUAGUUCAAUGAGUUUUGUCAAUUUACUUGAUGUUGAAAUACUUGAAAUACUUGAGUGCCGAAGCUAGUUAUGUUGACCAGUUCUUCAUUUAAUCAAGAGUACGCUGCCUCAUUUGACAGAUGUACUUGUGAUACGUGGAGCAGGGUGAAAUUUAUGGGGAAUUCGAGAUUUGAAGUAGCUGAAAAUUCAUGCAGCCGUUCGUAGCAGCUCUGGCCACUCCGGGAGUGUCGCCACUCUAAUCAGAAGCUCUAACUUCCGACGCAGCACCUCCUCUCUGCGCAGCCAGCGCAGCCGCCUCACGCCCUCAUCGCUGCUCCGCUCGGCAGCGCAGCCAGCGCAGCUGCCUCUCUCCCUAGUCGUUGCUCUGCUCGGCUGCGCAGCCAGCGCAGCCGCCUCUCUCAAGCAGCCCGCGCAGCCAGCGCAGCAUUCGCCGCUCCUCUGCAACCCGCCGAAAUAGCGCCUAUUUCCGCCGAAAUCGCGCCGAGGGAUAUCUCUAAUCUGAGAGGGAGAUUUUUUCUUUUUGUUUAAGGAUUUCAUCGAUUAGUUCAUGCCAAGCCUAAUCUCUUAAUUUAUGCUCCUGCUUUUAAUUUCUCAUAAUUUUGUUCAAUUCCUGGUGCAAGGACAAAUGAAAUGUCGAGCAAUGAUUAUUGCUUAAGGGAAUUGCUGAUUGAAAGAGCUAACUGAAGCUCGGGAAAAUUCCGUCCAUGCCGUCGAUGGGUUCGGCACGAAGACAUCGCAGCUCCGGGUCUCCCUCUCCCCCGUUAUUAAGCUGCGCAGCCAGCUCCGGGUCUCCCUCUUCUCCGUCAUUAAGCUGCGCAGUCAGCUCGGGUUCUCCUUCUCUCUGUUAUUAAGCUGCGCAGUCAGCUCGGGUUCUCCCCUCUCCUUUGGCACCCCGAUCAAGUUCAAAUGAUUGGCGUAGCCGCCCUGACCAAGUUCUCGGCGAAGAUACAGAGGUAGCGCAGGCAGUCGAUGCAAGUGCUCUGGCAGCAGAUGCUUCUCUGGGUAACAAACACAACUUCAGCGCAGACAAAA